UACGUAGGUGGCAAGCGUUGUCCGGAAUUAUUGGGCGUAAAGCGCGCGCAGGCGGUCCUUUAAGUCUGAUGUGAAAGCCCACGGCUCAACCGUGGAGGGUCAUUGGAAACUGGGGGACUUGAGUACAGAAGAGAAGAGUGGAAUUCCACGUGUAGCGGUGAAAUGCGCAGAUAUCAGGAGGAACACCAAUGGCGAAGGCAGCACUCUGGGACGUGACUGACGCUGAGACGCGAAAGCGUGGGGAGCAAACAGG
Molecule: ribosomal RNA, 253 nt
Filed under: uncultured bacterium
Lineage: Bacteria
Description: partial 16S ribosomal RNA
Rfam family: Bacterial small subunit ribosomal RNA
Source: RNAcentral